Molecule: ribosomal RNA, 253 nt
Filed under: uncultured bacterium
Lineage: Bacteria
Description: partial 16S ribosomal RNA
Rfam family: Bacterial small subunit ribosomal RNA
Source: RNAcentral
GACGUAGGGGGCCAGCGUUGUCCGGAAUUACUGGGUGUAAAGGGUUCGUAGGCGGUGUGGCAAGUCGGGAGUGAAAUCUCUGGGCUCAACCCAGAGUCUGCUUCCGAAACUGCUGUGCUUGAGUGUGGGAGAGGCGCGUGGAAUUGCAGGUGUAGCGGUGAAAUGCGUAGAUAUCUGCAGGAACACCCGUGGCGAAAGCGGCGCGCUGGACCACUACUGACGCUGAGGAACGAAAGCUAGGGGAGCAAACAGG